RNAcentral lists this ribosomal RNA (422 nucleotides) under uncultured bacterium. RNAcentral's name for it is "bacterial SSU rRNA". It matches the Rfam family "Bacterial small subunit ribosomal RNA", at positions 359 to 773 of the family's 1533-position model. The record is from RNAcentral.
GAAUUUUGGACAAUGGGGGCAACCCUGAUCCAGCCAUCCCGCGUGUGCGAUGAAGGCCUUCGGGUUGUACAGCACUUUUGGCCGGGAAGAAAAGGCUCUGGCUAAUCCUUGGAGCUGCUGACGGUACCUGCAGAAUAAGCACCGGCUACCUCCGUUCCCGCAGCCGCGGUAAUACGUAGGGUGCAAGCGUUAAUCGGAAUGACUGGGCGUAAAGCGUGCGCAGGCGGUUCGGCAAGAAGGAUGUGAAAUCCCAGGGCUUAACCUUGGAACUGCAUUCUUAACUGCCGGGCUAGAGUAUGUCAGAGGGGGGUAGAAUUCCGCGUGUAGCAGUGAAAUGCGUAGAGAUGCGGAGGAAUACCGAUGGCGAAGGCAGCCCCCUGGGAUAAUACUGACGCUCAUGCGCGAAAGCGUGGGGAGCAAAC